AUAUUAUAGAGUUUGAUCCUGGCUCCGAAUGAACGCUAGCAAGAAGCUUAACACAUGCAAGUCGAACGGAAUUCUGCUGAAUUUCCGUGGCGAACGGGUGAGUAACACGUGAGAAUCUACCUUUAAAUUGGGCAUAAGACUAUAUGUUAAAUUCCUGAUAAAUUAUAUAAAGCCAAAGAGCGUUUAAAGAUGAGCUCGCGGAGGAUUAGGUAGUUGGUAAGGUAAAAGCUUACCAAGCCGAAGAUCCUUAGCGGAUUUGAGAGGAUGAUCCGCCACACUGGAACUGAGACACGGUCCAGACACUUUCGAGUGGCAGCAGUGAGGAAUAUUGGACAAUGGGCGAAAGCCUGAUCCAGCUAUCUUGCUUGAGGGAAGAAGGCGUUUUUUGUCGUAAACCUCUGCCUUAAACCGAGAAUGGUGACGUAGGUUUAAGUAAUAGUCCCGGCUAACUUCGUGCCAGCAGCCGCGGUAAUACGAGGGGGGCGAGCGUUAUUCAAAAUGAUUGGGCGUAAAGAGCAUGUAGGCUGAUUAUAUAGCUUGUUUCUGAAAUAUUUAAUAAAUAUUUUAUUGUAGAUACUUAAAACUUCGUUUUAGGGAAUGAUAAAGUCCUACUGGAAAGUAGGUAACUCAUAACAAGAGCUAAUCUAGAGUAAGUGAGAGGAUAAUGGAAUUCCUGAAGUAGAGGUGAAAUUCGUAGAUAUCAGGAGGAAGGCCGAAUGCGAAGGCAAUUAUCUGGCGCUUAACUGACGCUGAGAUGCGAAGGCGUGGGGAUCAAAAGGGAUUAGAGACCCCAGUAGUCCACGCAGUCAACGAUGAAGAUUCAUCUUUAGUUUUUACUCCAAGUAUUAAUUAGAGGUCUAGCUAACGCGUUAAAUCUUCCGCCUGAGGAGUACGACCGCAAGGUUAAAACUCAAAGGAAUAGACGGGGGCUCAAACAAGUGGUGGAACAUGUGGUUUAAUUCGAAACAACGCGCAAAACCUUACCAGUCCUUGACAUAACUUGAGAACUCGAUUUUUAUCAAUUUAGUAUGCCAGUUACAGGUGUUGCAUGGCUGUCGUCAGCUCGUGUCGUGAGAUGUUUGGUUAGUUCCUUUAACGAGCGUAACCCUCUUGAAAAGUUGUUCGGAAUCUUAGUACAGAUUCUUUCCUUUUUUCAAACUGCCAGUGAUAUACUGGAGGAAGGUGGGGAUGACGUCAAGUCCUCAUGACCCUUAUGGACUGGGCUACACACGUGUUACAAUGGUAGGCACAAUAGGAGGCAAUGAUGCGAAUCGGAGCGAAUCCUAAAAACCUAUCUUAGUCCGGAUUGCUCUCUGCAACUCGAGAGCAUGAAGUUGGAAUCACUAGUAAUCGUGGAUCAGCACGCCACGGUGAAUUUGUACCUGGGCCUUGUACUCCCCGCCCGUCACGCUCUGGGAGUUUAAAGGGUCCGAAGAUUCGUGUCGGUUAUAAAAGCCAAAGGUUCAUUUAGCUUUCAAAGAAAGCACGAACCUUUGCACAAUAUAAUUAAACGGAUUCAAGAUCAGUUAAAUAACUGGAGCGAAGUCGUAACAAGGUAGCCGUAGGGGAACCUGCGGCUGGAUUGACUCAUU
RNAcentral lists this ribosomal RNA (1592 nucleotides) under Medakamo hakoo. It matches the Rfam family "Bacterial small subunit ribosomal RNA". Lineage: Eukaryota; Viridiplantae; Chlorophyta; Trebouxiophyceae; Coccomyxaceae. The record is from RNAcentral.